UCACUUUUCUCUGAAUUAUCUUUAAACUGUCCCAAACACUAGACUCAGUACUAUUCAGAAUGUUCUUUGAAAAUAAGUUUGGGGGAGUUGAAAAGAAGUAUCAAAUGCUCAAAAAAAUGUAGUACAUACAGUAAAAUGCUCGUGAUAAAAAAAGAGAAAAGAAAAGAAAAGAAACAGAAUAAAAAAAGAGAGAGAGCAUAUGUACUUGAAAGAAAAUAGAUGUACAAAAGAGCAUGUGAAAGCAAAGUAAGUUGGUGCAUUGAAGGUAAUUAUUUCGAAGAUCUGAUUAAAGUUGAGUCUAGGGUUUUUAGCCUAAAUUUAUCUAUCUUUUACCUAC
RNAcentral lists this long non-coding RNA (337 nucleotides) under Gossypium raimondii (Peruvian cotton). RNAcentral's name for it is "long non-coding RNA (GRAI_LNC009286)". The record is from RNAcentral. Lineage: Eukaryota; Viridiplantae; Streptophyta; Magnoliopsida; Malvales; Malvaceae.